CCUUUAUUUAACACUAUAUCUGGGGGAUAUCUUGUCACGAUGAGCUCUGUUUUCUGUGCAUGUUCUUUACGAAUAAACGAGUCAGACACCACUUGGAAUAAUUAUGGCAAUGUGCGUAUUGCAUAACGCACAUGCCGGUUUAUUAAUUUUGUAAUCAAUGACAUAAAUUUAACAUAACAAAUUAUUAACCAAAGUAAUUCAUUAACAGUUAGCACAGAAAAGGUGGGGGUAAAAACGCCCACAACUAACAGUAACAACUAUAAUAACUAAUAUACAAUAUACAAGUAGAAUAGUCUUGCGUUCAGAAAAACGGGGAGGAGGGUGGGGAAAAACUUGACUUUAAAAUACAGACGACUUUGCGCUACCAAAGCGAAGAGCAGAAUGAACCAGAUGCGCAUUCUGCUAUAGAUAUGUAUCACCUCUCCCUUCCGUUUUCCUGCACGCAUUACAUUCAUGUGAUCAGAAAAUUACGGGGAAAAUACCCAUGUGUCCCAUGUCAAGUAUGUCUAUUUAUAUAUCCUAAGCUCAGGAAGCAAUAAAAUCUUCAUUGGUAUGCCAAUAAUUCCUUUAUCGCUUCCUUUAUUUAACACUAUAUCUGGGGGAUAUCUUGUCACGAUGAGCUCUGUUUUCUGUGCAUGUUCUUUACGAAUAAACGAGUCAGACACCACUUGGAAUAAUUAUGGCAAUGUGCGUAUUGCAUAACGCACAUGCCGGUUUAUUAAUUUUGUAAUCAAUGACAUAAGUUUAACAUAACAAAUUAUUAACCAAAGUAAUUCAUUAACAGUUAGCACAGAAAAGGUGGGGGUAAAAAUGCCACAAGUCUACUUGGGUAAAGAAGACAUACCCCACCCCAGCGUGACAAGGCAUCGACAGAUAAAGUGAUUACAGACCGAUGAAACAAGCAAGCAACAAUUCUACAAAAUUGAGUGAUAGUAUUGGCAAAUAUUAAUUAAACUGCUCAUAAUAUAAAAGGGGGUGUUAGCUAUACCCAAACAAUUCGUGCCCCUGCGUUGAACUGCCAGGUAUAACCACCACCGACAAGACAAAAGUGUUCUGAUAGCCUUGCCCCUGCGUCAGCAUCACAGAACACUCUAAAGCAGUAUGUCGCAUAUGGUAACAUGCAUCAUAAUAAUCAUUGUAGUCAAGUCUUGCCCCUGCGUCAACUUGACCAGUCAGAUGUGCACGGAAGCGGAGUUUGCCAAAAUAUUAAAUGCUUAUUGACAGCCAUGAUCAAUCCGGUGAAAAAGACAAACAACCAAACUCGGCCUAUCUAGGCAAAGCGGUUGAGCACAGGCCUGGACCUCGAAUAUACUUACGAAAGGCGUCGGAUUUCCACCGACCCAUUGAUCGAAUUUGGGCAUCAGAAAAACCGCAUUCCGCAGCAAAUGUUGCCGCGCCAAUGCGGAAACUAUGUCCUUUGUAUUUAGUUGGAUCGAGACCACAUGUCUUGAAAAUGAGUGCUAAAUAGUCAGUAAAAAGUUUGCGUGAAACCGCGUGGCCCUCGUGCGUUCGAAAAAGCGGGCCAUCCGACAAACCCCGGCGUGAAAAAUAAUCCAGUAAGCUCUGCACUGGGCAUAUAUCUGAACGACGCUUAAGAGCGAUUGAUACAUUUGUUUGGUUGUAAGAAUGCUUAAAAUCAAAAAAUGUGAUUUUCAGUCCAAUUACGCCGCCUGAAUGGUCAACAAGUUGGACAAUCUGAUUUAACUGAAGCACACUCGAUGACCUGGGACAACAAGUGAUUUCCCCAACACGUAAAAAGGCAAAAAAUGCCGUUGUACACAUUGCUUUAAACAUAUACGCACGGUAUUCGCUCGCACAUAUGGUUGAUGUUUGUUGCAACACCGUGCGAAGGAUAGAAAGAGUUAUGGGCAUGCGUGUAUCCAAGCGCGACCCAAGUUUGCCAUACCCUUUCAACAUUUCAAUCACCCAAAAGACCCUAGUGGGGUCUGGCACGCCUGCAAGGCGAUGAUAAUAACCCAGUGCAGAGACAUACGUGUUCGCAG
Molecule: non-coding RNA, 2003 nt
Organism: Paramuricea clavata
Lineage: Eukaryota; Metazoa; Cnidaria; Anthozoa; Malacalcyonacea; Plexauridae
Source: the annotation of a GenBank genome assembly